UUUGGUCAGCUUGGCAGCCCGCUAACCUCGAUGAUGGAGUACUGGUAGAUGAAUCGUGGACGUAGUUUUAAAGAUGACAGGAAGCGUUAUCAGGACCAAAGCCGUGAGGCAGUGAAAUGAAGGUCGUAUCACCCAACAGCCUAGGAUACAGCCCUCGGACGUUAAUCGGCAUAACACUCCCCAUAAUAUAAUGGUUUUGGAGUGCAUGUUAACGCGGGUACGCCAACCGCUACGUCUAUCUG
This 242-nucleotide long non-coding RNA is filed under the name Mytilus galloprovincialis (Mediterranean mussel). Lineage: Eukaryota; Metazoa; Mollusca; Bivalvia; Mytilida; Mytilidae. The record is from RNAcentral.